GGGUGACAGAGAGUCUCAGGUGAGCCCCAGAGAGUCUCAGGUGUUCAGCACCUGGCGAGAACAGCCCCGUUCCACCUUCGCGGUUCCACCUCAGCCUCCCACUGCUUGUCUGGGUGGAAAAUGGGUCAUAAGGCACCAGAAAACAAGAAAUCCCAAUCCAUAAGGGAGUGUCCACGCUGCAUGCAGCUAGACUGCAAAAUCAGAGCCAUCUCGUACCACAAAUUAUGCCUCACAAAGGAAAGAAAAAAAAGAAGAAAAACCUGGGGGAAAACAAGUGAAGCCUCUCCCAUCUGUGCAUGACUGAAAUCCAGAGCCUCCCAAUGUAUUUGUGGAAGAUGUGUGUAUUUGUGUUUCUCUGCAAAAUCAGCAAGAGAAAAUGAACAAAAAUGGUUGAAAUCUUAA
Molecule: long non-coding RNA, 402 nt
Organism: Passer domesticus (house sparrow)
Lineage: Eukaryota; Metazoa; Chordata; Aves; Passeriformes; Passeridae
Exons: 2
Source: RefSeq, a predicted model, not a curated record